This 85-nucleotide ribosomal RNA is filed under the name Yonghaparkia sp. Root332. The record is from RNAcentral. Lineage: Bacteria; Bacillati; Actinomycetota; Actinomycetes; Micrococcales; Microbacteriaceae.
UUCGGCGGCCAUAGCGAAGGGGAAACGCCCGGUUACAUUCCGAACCCGGAAGCUAAGACCUUCUGCGCCGAUGGUACUGCGAGGG